This 484-nucleotide ribosomal RNA is filed under the name uncultured bacterium. RNAcentral's name for it is "partial 16S ribosomal RNA". It matches the Rfam family "Bacterial small subunit ribosomal RNA", at positions 28 to 523 of the family's 1533-position model. The record is from RNAcentral.
GACGAACGCUGGCGGCGUGCUUAACACAUGCAAGUCGAACGAUGAAGCCGGAGCUUGCUCCGGCGGAUUGGUGGCGAGCGGGUGAGUAACACGUGAGUAACCUGCCCUUGACUCUGGGAUAAGCGUUGGAAACGACGUCUAAUACCGGAUACGAACCGCGACGGCAUCGUCUGCGGUUGGAAAGAAUUUCGGUCAAGGAUGGACUCGCGGCCUAUCAGCUUGUUGGUGAGGUAAUGGCUCACCAAGGCGACGACGGGUAGCCGGCCUGAGAGGGUGACCGGCCACACUGGAACUGAGACACGGUCCAGACUCCUACGGGAGGCAGCAGUGGGGAAUAUUGCACAAUGGGCGAAAGCCUGAUGCAGCAACGCCGCGUGAGGGAUGACGGCCUUCGGGUUGUAAACCUCUUUUAGCAGGGAAGAAGCGAAAGUGACGGUACCUGCAGAAAAAGCACCGGCUAACUACGUGCCAGCCGCCGCUGUAA